This 97-nucleotide signal recognition particle RNA is filed under the name Opitutia bacterium. RNAcentral's name for it is "signal recognition particle sRNA small type". It matches the Rfam family "Bacterial small signal recognition particle RNA". From Rfam's summary of the family: The signal recognition particle (SRP) is a universally conserved ribonucleoprotein involved in the co-translational targeting of proteins to membranes. Archaeal SRP consists of a 7S RNA and homologues of the eukaryotic SRP19 and SRP54 proteins. The record is from RNAcentral. Lineage: Bacteria; Pseudomonadati; Verrucomicrobiota; Opitutia.
AACUGGGUUCUAUGCAAGGUGGGUUUGUGAACCCCGCCAGGGCAGGAAUGCAGCAACGGUAGUCAAAAACACUUGUGCCGUAGAGUGCCUGGUUGCU